UACGUAGGGACCGAGCGUUGUCCGGAUUCAUUGGGCGUAAAGAGCUCGUAGGCGGCUGUUCAAGUCGAACGUGAAAUUUCGGGGCUCAACCCCGAACUUGCAGUGGGUACGGGCAGACUAGAGUGUGGUAGGGGAGACUGGAAUUCCUGGUGUAGCGGUGAAAUGCGCAGAUAUCAGGAGGAACACCGAUGGCGAAGGCAGGUCUCUGGGCCACUACUGACGCUGAGAAGCGAAAGCAUGGGGAGCGAACAGG
This 253-nucleotide ribosomal RNA is filed under the name uncultured bacterium. Its description in RNAcentral is "partial 16S ribosomal RNA". It matches the Rfam family "Bacterial small subunit ribosomal RNA", at positions 524 to 776 of the family's 1533-position model. The record is from RNAcentral.